This is a long non-coding RNA of Neopelma chrysocephalum (saffron-crested tyrant-manakin), 3771 nucleotides long. RefSeq lists it as uncharacterized. NCBI's taxonomy places the organism in Eukaryota, Metazoa, Chordata, Aves, Passeriformes, Pipridae. The record is from RefSeq and is a predicted model, not a curated record. The transcript is spliced from 2 exons.
AUUUGAACCUACCUUGUUCAGUUUGAAGCCAUUCCCCCUGUCCUGUCACAACAUGCUGUUGUAAAAACUAACUCUCCAUCUGUCUUGUAGGCUCCCUUUAUCAUUAUUAUCAUCUUUAGAUGAUGAUAAAGGAAGAGGAGGGAUGAAGUUGGCCACUCUUCAUCUUUGGAGACACAGUUUCCAGAUCCUGAGUAGUCAUCUGCUGAGAUCAGGAAGAGAUACAUCAUAACAGCAGGCAGAAAAAAAUUGAAAUUAAUUAGGAAUUCAGAGAGCUGGAGCAAAGGGCUUAGGCAAACACAGGGAACAUAAGCAUCAGGAACGUGAUCUUGUCCAGAUCUUUCAGUGAAGGGCCAGACUCAUUAAGGGAUAAGAACCAGGGCUCAUCUUCACAUGGUAUAACUGGGGUGGAGCGUGGCUGCUUUGACCACAGAAUGUGUUUCAUGAGCUGGUGAUGAGACCAGUGCUGCCUCUUGACAAAGAAGAACACCUUGGCUUAUAAAAUUCCUCCUGGAGGAAGAUUUUAGCUGCCCACCAAGGAAAGGUGGACAGAAACUUUUGAGGAAAAAUUCCUUCAUAGGAAAGGGUUGACAAGGAUUGGAACAGGCUGCCCAGGGAAGUGUUGGGGUCACCAUCCCUGCAGGAAUUUAAAGGUGUUGAUGGGGAUGUGGUUUAGUGGUGGACUUGAUCCUGUUGGGUUAAUGGUUGGGCUCAGUGAUCUUGAACAUCUCUUCUAACCUAAAUAAUUCCAAAUUCAAGGUGUGUGCAAACACCAGUGACUUUUGCAAGGACCUAAAAUCAAAGCCAUUCAUGAAAAGGCCCUGAAAGGGUUUAAGACCAUGAAUGAGUCAAUCCAUUGAACAAGCCUGAUUAUUCCCCUUUUAUUUCCUGUCUUUUUGCAUCAGCACGGACAUCUCACAUCAAGAUCACAAGUUACUGGUGCAACUGCUGUGCACUGGUUUGUUCAGUGCUUAUCCAGGCUUAUUAUUUGUAGGGAGGGUCUAAAUACAAGUGUCCAGGUAAUGAUAGAAGAGGAAAGAAACACACUGGGGAAUUAAAAGAGAUUCCUGAUCUAGGAGCAUCCAUAGAUUAAAUCAUUUGGGGGUAAUAGAAGAGUCACACAGAUUGAAGGAGCUGUUGAUUGUAGGGAUUUGAGGGAUUUUUGUAGGAAACUACAGCAGUUAAGGGAAGCUGUCCCUCAGAGAAAGGGCACACACACCUGCCCACUACACAGAGGAAUCCAGAUGAAGCAUAAAAAUGUAGUAAGAGAUUGAACUAAGUGGAGAAUUUCACAUUGACCUCACAAGAACAAAACAUGUAUGGAUUGUGUCACAGCACUGCAGAUAAUUUCUGAAGGAAAUACGGGCCAACACUGGAAGCCGAGAAACAAAAAGAAGUUCAGCCUGCAAAAGGCAUCAGUAGGAAGUGCUGGGAGAGUCUUGUCCCACUUCCCAACAGGAAGGAAAGCUACAGGUUAUACUCAGUAGAAUAAAGAGUAUUUUAUGUGGGUUUUUUUCCUCAGCCUUCACUGGAAAGGCCUGAGGAGGGUAAGGGACUAGUGCUGUUCAAACCAAGAAGGAGAUCCUGCCCUAUAACUGGGUAGGGUAUAACAUAAAGGUCAGUGUUUUCAAAUUAAUUAACUCAAAAGAAUACACUAGAGGACAGUCUGAGACAACAUCAAAUCUACCUGAGAAUUCAUGGAGAAUGAGGGAAAUUCCAGCAGGUUGGAAAGAGUGAAUGUGGUGCCUGUCUUUAACAUAGAGGAUGUUUGGCAGAAAAGGGAAGAGCAACUGGUGAAUUAUGGACCACUCACCUUAACUUCAGCUCUUCAAAAAAUAAAAACUUCUUUAGGCACCAGAAAAUACAAGGCAAGAGCUGCCAGAGUGGUUUUAUCAAGAGCACACUGCAUUAAACCAGUCUAAUUUCAUUCCACAUUAGAUCAACACAGGCUAAGGAAGAAGCUGAGCAGGUCAGAUAUUUUGAUUUUAUUAAGACAUUACACCAUCUGCCACAGUUUUUUUUAUAAAGAAACAGGGAUGCUUGGUCUAGAAUAAAUUACCCAGUCAUGGUUACAAAACUAGUUGUAAAAUUGUGGCAGGGGAGGGUGAUAAGGGGCUCAUGGACAUCAUGGAAGGAUGUGUUGAGUUGGGAUGUAUUGUCCAAUUCUGUCUCAGAUGAGUUGAUGUUCUGAAUGGUGGAAUCAACUACACUUGUAAAGUAUGCAAGAAUUUCAGAGGGUAAGAUUAGCAUCCCAAAUGAUCUUAGAAAAGUGAAGGAAAGACCAGAUUCAAUUCCAACAGCUACACAGACUGUUCCCCUAAAACAGGAAUAAUUGGCUACAAAACCCCAAAGGAAUGGAAAGGACCAAAGAACAACUCACCUUUCCCAAACAGGCUAAAUCUUGCGUAUUCCACAUCCUGGAAUGUCUGAAUCUUUCUUAUUCUGGGGAAUCAGGCACAGGAGGAGCAGUGCAUCCCACUCCUGACAGAGACAACAAGGUUUGAACAGCUGUGCUUGAAAACGCCUUCGUGACUUUUUACCACCCCGGAGCCUCUGCUUUUAAAUGGCUUCGAAAUUGUUCUCAUGUUGCUGUGAGCCAAACGUCUCUUCAAGGUGUUCAGCACUUCAGAAAUGUAGGACAGAUGUUUUGUCAGCUGCUUGUGAACUACAACAGACUUGUGUCUGCCAGAGCCCCGGGAGAGGAUCUUGAGAGAGAACGAAAUAUGUUUGGCUGCCUCGCUGAGACAUUUGGUGGAGGAGGAGGAGGUGAGAGGAGGCCUUUACCAAGAAAGGCUCCAGAACACUGACUGAGUCACCCCAGGAACACUCAGGACCCCAGGAACAAUUGUGACUGGGGAGGAGCCCCCGUGACAAUCCUAAAAUGUCGUUGUCUUGAAGCCCCUAAAACACGUGGGCUGCCUGGAGCAGGGCUGGGGAAAGCAACAGAGUGGAAAAGCAUCAGAGCACAAAAGCAGAUUCUAAUAAGUGCAACACUAAAAAAAAAAACCUUCUCAGUCCUUUUGAGUCAAGUGAAUUGGAGCAACUGAAUGUUCCUUUUCUCAUUUUUGGGCGGCGAUCACGAAAAACAGAUGUUACACUGUGUUAAUUUUUGUCACUGGCAUCCUGCCCCCCCUGGCAAGAUUAAAACAACUCUUGGCAUCCUUGGAGCAGCUGGGCGGCAAAGCUGCUUCCUUUACUCACACAAUGCCACUCUGAAUAACCUCCGAGCCUCAAAUCUUGGUGCUUUGUAAUCCAUGUCCUGGCAGUUUUCUCCUCCGCUCCCCCUGUUCAAACAUGGUAUUCCCCAGCCCUUACGGAGCCUGGAAUGUAUCUUUAAUGCACCAUAAGUGGUGAUGAAAAAUAGAUGUGUAGAAUCCACGACAUGUCUGACACUCAUUUAACUUUCCCUGCAGAAGGAAGGAUGUUUUCAGGGUUGUCUUUGCAGUUUAACUUCUUAGGAAAUUUUUGUAUUCAAGCUUCGUCAAUAAAGCAGGAAAAAGACUUCGGUGUUGGGCAUUUUACCUGGAUGUCUAACAUAAAACAGGAUUUUACAUAAACACUGAAUGCUUCUGACAUCAGACAUAUGAUUUAAAAGUGAAAAGGGCAGUCAUAAAUCAUUUGAAGAAUGAGGGCCAUUAAGUCCAGCAUUGGUAGGUGGAAUGAGAAAAGGAUGACUUAUUUUCUUUUGCUAGAAGCUAAAUGUGAUGUCUUCUGAGGAAAAAAAAUAAAAAUAAAAAAAUAAAAUAAAAAUAGAAAUAGAAAUAGAAAUAGAAA